AUGGACAUUGCAACCUCAUCUUAUGACAAUGGACAAUACUCUGUUCAGAAUUGCAUUCAUGUCUUGAAAGAUCUAACGAUAUUCAGUUCGUUGGGAGAAAUGCAUUAUGGAUAUUCUUUAGAAUUGCUUAAAGAUAAAGAAAAUAGGGUCAUGAUUGUUUCUUCGAAAGAUUGCACGGCUCUCUUGGUUAGUUGGAUAAAAUACAAGUAUCAAAAGGCAAAUCACUAG
Vicia faba (fava bean) is the source of this 228-nucleotide non-coding RNA. The record is from the annotation of a GenBank genome assembly. NCBI's taxonomy places the organism in Eukaryota, Viridiplantae, Streptophyta, Magnoliopsida, Fabales, Fabaceae.